This 560-nucleotide ribosomal RNA is filed under the name uncultured bacterium. Its description in RNAcentral is "bacterial SSU rRNA". It matches the Rfam family "Bacterial small subunit ribosomal RNA", at positions 28 to 634 of the family's 1533-position model. The record is from RNAcentral.
AACGAACGCUGGCGGCAGGCCUAACACAUGCAAGUCGAGCGAGACCUUCGGGUCUAGCGGCGGACGGGUUAGUAACGCGUGGGAAUGUACCCUUCUCUACGGAAUAGCCUCGGGAAACUGAGAGUAAUACCGUAUACGCCCUUCGGGGGAAAGAUUUAUCGGAGAAGGAUCAGCCCGCGUUGGAUUAGGUAGUUGGUGGGGUAAUGGCCUACCAAGCCUACGAUCCAUAGCUGGUUUGAGAGGAUGAUCAGCAACACUGGGACUGAGACACGGCCCAGACUCCUACGGGAGGCAGCAGUGGGGAAUCUUAGACAAUGGGCGAAAGCCUGAUCUAGCCAUGCCGCGUGGACGAUGAAGGCCUUAGGGUUGUAAAGUCCUUUCAGCUGGGAAGAUAAUGACGGUACCAGCAGAAGAAGCCCCGGCUAACUCCGUGCCAGCAGCCGCGGUAAUACGGAGGGGGCUAGCGUUGUUCGGAAUUACUGGGCGUAAAGCGCACGUAGGCGGAUCAGAAAGUUAGAGGUGAAAUCCCAGGGCUCAACCUUGGAACUGCCUUUAAAACU